AGUCAUUAUUGACGCUGAGGCACGAAAGUGUGGGGAUCAAACAGGAUUAGAUACCCUGGUAGUCCACACUGUAAACGAUGAUAACUCGCUGUCGGCGAUACACAGUCGGUGGCCAAGCGAAAGCAUUAAGUUAUCCACCUGGGGAGUACGACCGCAAGGUUGAAACUCAAAGGAAUUGACGGGGGCCCGCACAAGCGGAGGAACAUGUGGUUUAAUUCGAUGAUACGCGAGGAACCUUACCCGGGCUCGAACGGUGCAUGAAUAUACGAGAGAUUGUAUAGUCCUUCGGGACAUGUAUCGAGGUGCUGCAUGGUUGUCGUCAGCUCGUGCCGUGAGGUGUCGGCUUAAGUGCCAUAACGAGCGCAACCCUUGUCAUUAGUUGCCAUCAGGUCAAGCUGGGGACUUUAAUGAGACUGCCACCGUAAGGUGUGAGGAAGGGGGGGAUGACGUCAAAUCAGCACGGCCCUUAUGUCCGGGGCGACACACGUGUUACAAUGGGAGGUACAGAGGGCAGCUAUCCGGUGACGGAAUGCUAAUCUCCAAAACCUUUCUCAGUUCGGAUUGGAGUCUGCAACUCGACUCCAUGAAGGUGGAUUCGCUAGUAAUCGCGCAUCAGCCAUGGCGCGGUGAAUACGUUCCCGGGCCUUGUACACACCGCCCGUCAAGCCAUGGAAGCUUGGGGUGCCUGAAGUUCGUGACCGCAAGGAGCGACCUAAGGCAAAACAGGUAACUGGGGCUAAGUCGUAACAAGGUAGCCGUAAAGGG
RNAcentral lists this ribosomal RNA (765 nucleotides) under uncultured bacterium. RNAcentral describes it as "bacterial SSU rRNA". It matches the Rfam family "Bacterial small subunit ribosomal RNA", at positions 732 to 1509 of the family's 1533-position model. The record is from RNAcentral.